RNAcentral lists this ribosomal RNA (1563 nucleotides) under Lactiplantibacillus pentosus. RNAcentral's name for it is "bacterial SSU rRNA". It matches the Rfam family "Bacterial small subunit ribosomal RNA". Lineage: Bacteria; Bacillati; Bacillota; Bacilli; Lactobacillales; Lactobacillaceae. The record is from RNAcentral.
UUUUUUUUUUUUUUUUUUUUUUUUUUCUCCCAGACGAACGCUGGCGGCGUGCCUAAUACAUGCAAGUCGAACGAACUCUGGUAUUGAUUGGUGCUUGCAUCAUGAUUUACAUUUGAGUGAGUGGCGAACUGGUGAGUAACACGUGGGAAACCUGCCCAGAAGCGGGGGAUAACACCUGGAAACAGAUGCUAAUACCGCAUAACAACUUGGACCGCAUGGUCCGAGUUUGAAAGAUGGCUUCGGCUAUCACUUUUGGAUGGUCCCGCGGCGUAUUAGCUAGAUGGUGGGGUAACGGCUCACCAUGGCAAUGAUACGUAGCCGACCUGAGAGGGUAAUCGGCCACAUUGGGACUGAGACACGGCCCAAACUCCUACGGGAGGCAGCAGUAGGGAAUCUUCCACAAUGGACGAAAGUCUGAUGGAGCAACGCCGCGUGAGUGAAGAAGGGUUUCGGCUCGUAAAACUCUGUUGUUAAAGAAGAACAUAUCUGAGAGUAACUGUUCAGGUAUUGACGGUAUUUAACCAGAAAGCCACGGCUAACUACGUGCCAGCAGCCGCGGUAAUACGUAGGUGGCAAGCGUUGUCCGGAUUUAUUGGGCGUAAAGCGAGCGCAGGCGGUUUUUUAAGUCUGAUGUGAAAGCCUUCGGCUCAACCGAAGAAGUGCAUCGGAAACUGGGAAACUUGAGUGCAGAAGAGGACAGUGGAACUCCAUGUGUAGCGGUGAAAUGCGUAGAUAUAUGGAAGAACACCAGUGGCGAAGGCGGCUGUCUGGUCUGUAACUGACGCUGAGGCUCGAAAGUAUGGGUAGCAAACAGGAUUAGAUACCCUGGUAGUCCAUACCGUAAACGAUGAAUGCUAAGUGUUGGAGGGUUUCCGCCCUUCAGUGCUGCAGCUAACGCAUUAAGCAUUCCGCCUGGGGAGUACGGCCGCAAGGCUGAAACUCAAAGGAAUUGACGGGGGCCCGCACAAGCGGUGGAGCAUGUGGUUUAAUUCGAAGCUACGCGAAGAACCUUACCAGGUCUUGACAUACUAUGCAAAUCUAAGAGAUUAGACGUUCCCUUCGGGGACAUGGAUACAGGUGGUGCAUGGUUGUCGUCAGCUCGUGUCGUGAGAUGUUGGGUUAAGUCCCGCAACGAGCGCAACCCUUAUUAUCAGUUGCCAGCAUUAAGUUGGGCACUCUGGUGAGACUGCCGGUGACAAACCGGAGGAAGGUGGGGAUGACGUCAAAUCAUCAUGCCCCUUAUGACCUGGGCUACACACGUGCUACAAUGGAUGGUACAACGAGUUGCGAACUCGCGAGAGUAAGCUAAUCUCUUAAAGCCAUUCUCAGUUCGGAUUGUAGGCUGCAACUCGCCUACAUGAAGUCGGAAUCGCUAGUAAUCGCGGAUCAGCAUGCCGCGGUGAAUACGUUCCCGGGCCUUGUACACACCGCCCGUCACACCAUGAGAGUUUGUAACACCCAAAGUCGGUGGGGUAACCUUUUAGGAACCAGCCGCCUAAGGUGGGACAGAUGAUUAGGGUGAAGUCGUACAAGGGUAACCAAACCGUAGCCCGCCGUAAUAGC